Molecule: ribosomal RNA, 607 nt
Filed under: Caryophanales bacterium Ri1Pt_3795
Lineage: Bacteria; Bacillati; Bacillota; Bacilli; Caryophanales
Description: partial 16S rRNA
Rfam family: Bacterial small subunit ribosomal RNA
Source: RNAcentral
GAAGGUUUUCGGAUCUGUAAAGCUCUGUUGUUGGGGAAGAACAAGUGCGAGAGUAACUGCUUGUGCCUUGACGGUACCUAACCAGAAAGCCCCGGCUAACUACGUGCCAGCAGCCGCGGUAAUACGUAGGUGGCAAGCGUUGUCCGGAAUUAUUGGGCGUAAAGGGCUCGCAGGCGGUUUCUUAAGUCUGAUGUGAAAGCCCCCGGCUCAACCGGGGAGGGGCAUUGGAAACUGGGAAACUUGAGUGCGGAAGAGGAGAGUGGAAUUCCACGUGUAGCGGUGAAAUGCGUAGAGAUGUGGAGGAACACCAGUGGCGAAGGCGACUCUCUGGUCUGUAACUGACGCUGAGGAGCGAAAGCGUGGGGAGCGAACAGGAUUAGAUACCCUGGUAGUCCACGCCCUAAACGAUGAGUGCUGAAUGUUAGGGGGUUUCCGCCCCUUAGUGCUGCAGCUAACGCAUUAAGCACUCCGCCUGGGGAGUACGGUCGCAAGACUGAAACUCAAAGGAAUUGACGGGGGCCCGCACAAGCGGUGGAGCAUGUGGUUUAAUUCGAAGCAACGCGAAGAACCUUACCAGGUCUUGACAUCUCCUGACCACCCUAGAGAU